Long non-coding RNA from Felis catus (domestic cat), 482 nucleotides. RefSeq lists it as uncharacterized. The record is from RefSeq and is a predicted model, not a curated record. The transcript is spliced from 2 exons. Lineage: Eukaryota; Metazoa; Chordata; Mammalia; Carnivora; Felidae.
GUUACAUUUUUCUCUUGAUCUUUUUUCUCAAUUUACUAAGCUAUUGCAUCCAUUUUCUUAUGUGUUUCUCACGACUCAGGGGGCAAGCAGAGCGGGUGUUGUUUCUUCAUUGUGCAGAAGAGGAAAGUGAGGCCCGGCGAGAAGGACUGUUGGACUGUCGGGCUCAGGGCUCCUAAAUGCAAAAUCAUGUCAAGAAUCCCAGUGUCCUCUCCCUGACCAUUGAUUUCCCCCCAGUGACAUUUUAAUAGAAAUGCAAGGCCCAGUGUCAUUAAUGGACGAGCAGACCUCCUGCCAUCCACUUCUGCAAUUUUCUUGCUUCUCAUCUCUGCCCACCUUUCUGCGCUGACUCCAAUACACAUCCUGAAUCCUGGCCUUCCUUUGUGCAGUCCUUUCUUCUCUGAUACAUGAUAUUCUGUCCCUUUAAUACUGUUCACAAAGUGCUUUCUUCAUUUCUUUUUCACUAAUAAAUGAUAAGGAAACUA